GUGACUGCGUACCUUUUGUAUAAUGGGUCAGCGACUUAUAUUCUGUAGCAAGGUUAACCGAAUAGGGGAGCCGAAGGGAAACCGAGUCUUAACUGGGCGUUAAGUUGCAGGGUAUAGACCCGAAACCCGGUGAUCUAGCCAUGGGCAGGUUGAAGGUUGGGUAACACUAACUGGAGGACCGAACCGACUAAUGUUGAAAAAUUAGCGGAUGACUUGUGGCUGGGGGUGAAAGGCCAAUCAAACCGGGAGAUAGCUGGUUCUCCCCGAAAGCUAUUUAGGUAGCGCCUCGUGAAUUCAUCUCCGGGGGUAGAGCACUGUUUCGGCAAGGGGGUCAUCCCGACUUACCAACCCGAUGCAAACUGCGAAUACCGGAGAAUGUUAUCACGGGAGACACACGGCGGGUGCUAACGUCCGUCGUGAAGAGGGAAACAACCCAGACCGCCAGCUAAGGUCCCAAAGUCAUGGUUAAGUGGGAAACGAUGUGGGAAGGCCCAGACAGCCAGGAUGUUGGCUUAGAAGCAGCCAUCAUUUAAAGAAAGCGUAAUAGCUCACUGGUCGAGUCGGCCUGCGCGGAAGAUGUAACGGGGCUAAACCAUGCACCGAAGCUGCGGCAGCGACACUAUGUGUUGUUGGGUAGGGGAGCGUUCUGUAAGCCUGUGAAGGUGGCCUGUGAGGGUUGCUGGAGGUAUCAGAAGUGCGAAUGCUGACAUAAGUAACGAUAAAGCGGGUGAAAAGCCCGCUCGCCGGAAGACCAAGGGUUCCUGUCCAACGUUAAUCGGGGCAGGGUGAGUCGACCCCUAAGGCGAGGCCGAAAGGCGUAGUCGAUGGGAAACAGGUUAAUAUUCCUGUACUUGGUGUUACUGCGAAGGGGGGACGGAGAAGGCUAUGUUGGCCGGGCGACGGUUGUCCCGGUUUAAGCGUGUAGGCUGGUUUUCCAGGCAAAUCCGGAAAACCAAGGCUGAGGCGUGAUGACGAGGCACUACGGUGCUGAAGCGACAAAUGCCCUGCUUCCAGGAAAAGCCUCUAAGCAUCAGGUAACAUCAAAUCGUACCCCAAACCGACACAGGUGGUCAGGUAGAGAAUACCAAGGCGCUUGAGAGAACUCGGGUGAAGGAACUAGGCAAAAUGGUGCCGUAACUUCGGGAGAAGGCACGCUGAUAUGUAGGUGAAGCGACUUGCUCGUGGAGCUGAAAUCAGUCGAAGAUACCAGCUGGCUGCAACUGUUUAUUAAAAACACAGCACUGUGCAAACACGAAAGUGGACGUAUACGGUGUGACGCCUGCCCGGUGCCGGAAGGUUAAUUGAUGGGGUUAGCGGUAACGCGAAGCUCUUGAUCGAAGCCCCGGUAAACGGCGGCCGUAACUAUAACGGUCCUAAGGUAGCGAAAUUCCUUGUCGGGUAAGUUCCGACCUGCACGAAUGGCGUAAUGAUGGCCAGGCUGUCUCCACCCGAGACUCAGUGAAAUUGAACUCGCUGUGAAGAUGCAGUGUACCCGCGGCAAGACGGAAAGACCCCGUGAACCUUUACUAUAGCUUGACACUGAACAUUGAGCCUUGAUGUGUAGGAUAGGUGGGAGGCUUUGAAGUGUGGACGCCAGUCUGCAUGGAGCCGACCUUGAAAUACCACCCUUUAAUGUUUGAUGUUCUAACGUUGGCCCGUAAUCCGGGUUGCGGACAGUGUCUGGUGGGUAGUUUGACUGGGGCGGUCUCCUCCUAAAGAGUAACGGAGGAGCACGAAGGUUGGCUAAUCCUGGUCGGACAUCAGGAGGUUAGUGCAAUGGCAUAAGCCAGCUUGACUGCGAGCGUGACGGCGCGAGCAGGUGCGAAAGCAGGUCAUAGUGAUCCGGUGGUUCUGAAUGGAAGGGCCAUCGCUCAACGGAUAAAAGGUACUCCGGGGAUAACAGGCUGAUACCGCCCAAGAGUUCAUAUCGACGGCGGUGUUUGGCACCUCGAUGUCGGCUCAUCACAUCCUGGGGCUGAAGUAGGUCCCAAGGGUAUGGCUGUUCGCCAUUUAAAGUGGUACGCGAGCUGGGUUUAGAACGUCGUGAGACAGUUCGGUCCCUAUCUGCCGUGGGCGCUGGAGAACUGAGGGGGGCUGCUCCUAGUACGAGAGGACCGGAGUGGACGCAUCACUGGUGUUCGGGUUGUCAUGCCAAUGGCACUGCCCGGUAGCUAAAUGCGGAAGAGAUAAGUGCUGAAAGCAUCUAAGCACGAAACUUGCCCCGAGAUGAGUUCUCCCUGAGACUUAGAGUCUCCUGAAGGAACGUUGAAGACGACGACGUUGAUAGGCCGGGUGUGUAAGCGCAGCGAUGCGUUGAGCUAACCGGUACUAAUGAACCGUGAGGCUUAACCUUACAACGCCGAAG
RNAcentral lists this ribosomal RNA (2365 nucleotides) under Escherichia coli. RNAcentral's name for it is "bacterial LSU rRNA". It matches the Rfam family "Bacterial large subunit ribosomal RNA", at positions 593 to 2925 of the family's 2925-position model. The record is from RNAcentral. Lineage: Bacteria; Pseudomonadati; Pseudomonadota; Gammaproteobacteria; Enterobacterales; Enterobacteriaceae.